RNAcentral lists this ribosomal RNA (468 nucleotides) under uncultured bacterium. Its description in RNAcentral is "partial 16S ribosomal RNA". It matches the Rfam family "Bacterial small subunit ribosomal RNA", at positions 28 to 507 of the family's 1533-position model. The record is from RNAcentral.
GACGAACGCUGGCGGCGUGCUUAACACAUGCAAGUCGAACGGAAAGGCCCUGCUUUUGUGGGGUGCUCGAGUGGCGAACGGGUGAGUAACACGUGAGUAACCUGCCCUUGACUUUGGGAUAACUUCAGGAAACUGGGGCUAAUACCGGAUAUGAUCUCCUGCUGCAUGGUGGGGGUUGGAAAGUUUCGGCGGUUGGGGAUGGACUCGCGGCUUAUCAGCUUGUUGGUGGGGUAGUGGCUUACCAAGGCUUUGACGGGUAGCCGGCCUGAGAGGGUGACCGGGCAAAUGGGGACUGAGAUACGGCCCAGAAGGCUACGGGAGGCAGCAGGGGGGAAUAUUGCAAAAGGGGAGGAAGCCUGAUGCAGCAAAGCGGCGUGCGGGAUGACGGCCUUCGGGUUGUAAACCGCUUUCGCCUGUGACGAAGCGUGAGUGACGGUAAUGGGUAAAGAAGCACCGGCUAACUACGUG